CAAUCAUACCACAUUGAAACACCAGUUCUCGUAUGAUCACCAAAGUUAAGCAACAUUAAGUCUAGUUAGUACCUAGAUGGUUGACCACUUAGGAAUACCAGGUUCUGCAA
Molecule: non-coding RNA, 110 nt
Organism: Acanthosepion pharaonis
Lineage: Eukaryota; Metazoa; Mollusca; Cephalopoda; Sepiida; Sepiidae
Source: the annotation of a GenBank genome assembly